This is a long non-coding RNA of Coturnix japonica (Japanese quail), 1706 nucleotides long. The record is from Ensembl. Lineage: Eukaryota; Metazoa; Chordata; Aves; Galliformes; Phasianidae.
CAGUAAUGACAAAGAUCAGGCUUUCUCCUGUGGCCACUGGAACAAUUUAACAAUACACAGCAACAAAUAGGCAAUCUGUUUUGCAGGAAAACCUGUGUUGCUGUAUGAGAACUAUUGAGUCAUAGCCUGAAUCUCUGAUUGAUCACCUGAGGCAAGCACUGAGUUAGCCCUGGAAGCACAGGUGAAGGCAAUUCAGCUGUGCUACCAGAAGAGGUGGAGACUGGCUGUGCAUCUCCUAGACCCUAUUUAAGGGCUGAUUGUCACUGAGGAAGUUAAUUUUUUUUGGAGAUUCUGUUGUUUAGUUUUAUGUUCCUGUGAGUCUGGGACAGGGGUGUGUGUUUCAUUGUUUUUUGCUUGCAUUUUUUUACUGCAAUAAUUUUUCCUUUGAAGUAACUUGUAAAAUACCAGUUUGCUAAUUGUAUAUUGAUCAAGCAUACGUUUGUAAACUGUUGGGUUCUCUAAAGCUGUUCAGUUAUUUCUUCUGUAGUUGUGACUCAUUCCUCAGGAGCCAGAGUCCCUUUUGUUGUACUCUACAUGUGCUAAUAUUUUUGUGUUUCUGUGGUUUUUCAAGGAAAUUUGUGAAGAAUGAGAAAUGAAGUACUAAAACCUAUUAAUUUGGAAGGUGUUGUAGUAGAGAAAUUGGUUAUUGACCUUGAUUGUUGCAAGCAGAUGAAGCAGAUGUAUAAGCUGGAGAGCAUGCUGCAGUCGUACUGUCAUUCCCUUGGCUCUCUGACUGGAGCAAACAGGAGACAAUACGUGGAAGGAUGUCUUUAUGCUGAAAAAAGAGAGGAAGUGCAGUACUGGAGCACUUUUACUUGCAUGAAAAGAAAGGAACUCUGGUAUUUGCUUGGCUGACCUCAAAGCUGUCUGAUGAGAUUCAUCUUCUGCUGUUUUAAAGAAGUCAUGCAUCUCCCUCCCUCCUUAUUGAAACCUGCUCAUGCUGUAAAUAGUCACUGUCUGCUUAGUAAACUACAACAUCAGGUGUUUUAGUAGUUGUGAGGUGCUAUUUCUGUUUCUGUCGCUUACAUACCAUUAAGUAAUUUCAUUUACAAAUUGUAUCAGUCAGCAAAAUGGUUUGUAACAUCUAUUUCUGGAGGUGAGGAUUACAGUAGCAUUGUUGCUUAUGAUACCAUCAGAGCAAACUAAAUUUUAGCACCUUUAAGUAGCAUAUGAGCAAGUGUUAAUUCUUUAAAGAUGAUGAAAAGAAAAUUAGAAAUAUAGGUAGUACCUUUUCUAUAUCAAGUUCCUCUGUUUGAACUUACGUAUUUUUAAAUAGAAUCCCUUUGGUUGGCUUUCUGUGAGGAAAACUGGAAGUGGUUCGAUUGGGUGAAAUCUAGUGGAAAUGUGAUCCUGAUUAGAGGGGUGUGUGUGUAAUGGCAACCAGAGAAGACCAACCACUAACGAUGAGAAUGAGUUUCUUGGAUAUUUAGUAGUACAACAGGGAGAAUACUUCUAAAAUCAUAGGAUGAUGUGUAGCACAAACUGCUAAAUCAGGCAUUUUUUAUAUCACUCAUUCCAGUGCUUGGAGAGAUGUGCUUCAAGCUUUCUCUUCUGAAUUUAUUUAAUUCUUGAAGCAUUAUCCAAAUUAUUUAUUGACAUUAUUUCCCUGUGUUUUCAUCUUCUCUCAUAAACAGUCAGUCACAGUGUAAUUAUAAACACCUUGAUUUUAAUACUUAAUAAACAGAGGCAUAAAGAUGUAAUGGACA